Molecule: ribosomal RNA, 453 nt
Filed under: uncultured Streptococcus sp.
Lineage: Bacteria; Bacillati; Bacillota; Bacilli; Lactobacillales; Streptococcaceae
Description: bacterial SSU rRNA
Rfam family: Bacterial small subunit ribosomal RNA
Source: RNAcentral
GCGGUGGAGCAUGUGGUUUAAUUCGAAGCAACGCGAAGAACUUACCAGGUCUUGACAUCCCCUCGACAACCCGAGAGAUCGGGCGUUCCCCUUCGGGGACAGGGUGACAGGUGGUGCAUGGUUGUCGUCAGCUCGUGUCGUGAGAUGUUGGGUUAAGUCCCGCAACGAGCGCAACCCCUAUUGUUAGUUGCCAUCAUUCAGUUGGGCACUCUAGCGAGACUGCCGGUAAUAAACCGGAGGAAGGUGGGGAUGACGUCAAAUCAUCAUGCCCCUUAUGACCUGGGCUACACACGUGCUACAAUGGUUGGUACAACGAGUUGCGAGUCGGUGACGGCGAGCUAAUCUCUUAAAGCCAAUCUCAGUUCGGAUUGUAGGCUGCAACUCGCCUACAUGAAGUCGGAAUCGCUAGUAAUCGCGGAUCAGCACGCCGCGGUGAAUACGUUCCCGGGCCUU